This is a ribosomal RNA of Pteropus vampyrus (large flying fox), 121 nucleotides long. The record is from Ensembl. NCBI's taxonomy places the organism in Eukaryota, Metazoa, Chordata, Mammalia, Chiroptera, Pteropodidae.
GUCUACGGCCAUGCCACCCUUAAUGUGCCCGAACUUGUCUGAUCUCGGAAGCAAAGCAGAGUUGGGACUGGUUAGUACUUGAAUGGGAGACCACCUAGGAAUACCAGGUGCUUUGUAAUCA